CCUACGGGAGGCUGCAGUGAGGAAUAUUGGUCAAUGGACGAGAGUCUGAACCAGCCAAGUAGCGUGAAGGAUGACUGCCCUAUGGGUUGUAAACUUCUUUUAUAUGGGAAUAAAAUGUUCCACGUGUGGGAUUUUGUAUGUACCAUAUGAAUAAGGAUCGGCUAACUCCGUGCCAGCAGCCGCGGUAAUACGGAGGAUCCGAGCGUUAUCCGGAUUUAUUGGGUUUAAAGGGAGCGUAGGUGGAGUGUUAAGUCAGGUGUGAAAGUUUGCGGCUCAACCGUAAAAUUGCAGUUGAAACUGGCAGUCUUGAGUACAGUAGAGGUGGGCGGAAUUCGUGGUGUAGCGGUGAAAUGCUUAGAUAUCACGAAGAACUCCGAUUGCGAAGGCAGUUCACUGGACUGCAACUGACACUGAGGCUCGAAAGUGUGGGUAUCAAACAGGAUUAGAUACCCGAGUAGUC
This 460-nucleotide ribosomal RNA is filed under the name uncultured bacterium. RNAcentral describes it as "partial 16S ribosomal RNA". It matches the Rfam family "Bacterial small subunit ribosomal RNA", at positions 338 to 795 of the family's 1533-position model. The record is from RNAcentral.